RNAcentral lists this ribosomal RNA (253 nucleotides) under uncultured Prevotella sp. Its description in RNAcentral is "partial 16S ribosomal RNA". It matches the Rfam family "Bacterial small subunit ribosomal RNA", at positions 524 to 776 of the family's 1533-position model. The record is from RNAcentral. Lineage: Bacteria; Pseudomonadati; Bacteroidota; Bacteroidia; Bacteroidales; Prevotellaceae.
UACGGAGGAUGCGAGCGUUAUCCGGAUUUAUUGGGUUUAAAGGGAGCGUAGGCCGGCUUUUAAGUCAGCUGUGAAAGUCCGCGGCUCAACCGUGGAAUUGCAGUUGAAACUGGAGGCCUUGAGUGCACACAGGGAUGCCGGAAUUCAUGGUGUAGCGGUGAAAUGCUUAGAUAUCACGAAGAACUCCGAUUGCGAAGGCAGCCUGCUGGACUGUAACUGACGCUGAUGCUCGAAAGUGUGGGUAUCAAACAGG